UUUUGAUGGGGGCAAUGGAGCUCUUUUGAUUACUUUUUCAGAUAUCAGAAGGUUGUGACAGGGAAGGUGUGGGUUGAACAAUUCAGUGACAGAGUCAAAAUCCCCAAACUUCUCCACUGGACCAUGUGCCCACAAGGCAGGAGCAGCAGCCCAUCUUGCCUGCACUUUAGAGUCACCAGUUGGGAUGGGGCGUUUGGAAGUAACACCCAGAGCCCCUUUCCAGACCAAUUGAACCGGCAUCCUGAGCAGCGAGAGAGAGGAACAGUAGGAGCCCGCAAGGCCAAGACCUGGGAUAAUGCAGGGAAAUGAGCUGGAAACGCUGUGUGUACUCGCUUGGCAAUUUGUUGGCUGGAACCUGGGCUUUGCGCUUCACUGAGAGCCGUUGCGCCCAGGAAGAGGCUGGCAUUGUGCUGCGGGGUGCAACCUGUUGCCAGGAGCUCAGUGGAGAAAGGGCCACCAGGAACUCAGACGUGGCUUUGACUCACAGGCCAACUGGAUCUCCAGGCCUGCAGAGAGCAUUGGAGAUUCUGCUCUUGUUAAAAGGCAGCAGAGGGAGGGGCACGAGCAAAGGUGUGAGCUCUGCGAGGAAGCUAGACCGGAGGCCCCAAACUUCAGCCACCUCAUCUUGAAAACAGGGAAAUGAGAGUUACUGCAAGCAUUAACGUCACAGUCACAAUAUGUCAGAGCACUCUGUUCAGCAUCUGGCACAGAGGCAUCCUCAAAAAUGUAAGUUAAUGUCAUUUUUCUCCUACAGCCAGGUGUCUUCCUCUGGGAGGAGCAGACAUCAUGU
RNAcentral lists this long non-coding RNA (790 nucleotides) under Rhinopithecus bieti (black snub-nosed monkey). RNAcentral's name for it is "lncRNA (ENSRBIG00000046358.1)". Lineage: Eukaryota; Metazoa; Chordata; Mammalia; Primates; Cercopithecidae. The record is from RNAcentral.